AAGUAAGAAGCAAAUUUUGCAAUCAGUUUCGACCUGAUCCCAGAUAAAUCUAACCUUAUCCUUACUUU
RNAcentral lists this transfer RNA (68 nucleotides) under Cahuallitermes intermedius. Its description in RNAcentral is "tRNA-Arg". The record is from RNAcentral. Lineage: Eukaryota; Metazoa; Arthropoda; Insecta; Blattodea; Termitidae.